Brassica oleracea var. oleracea is the source of this 209-nucleotide long non-coding RNA. RefSeq lists it as uncharacterized. Lineage: Eukaryota; Viridiplantae; Streptophyta; Magnoliopsida; Brassicales; Brassicaceae. The transcript has 3 exons. The record is from RefSeq and is a predicted model, not a curated record.
AAACCUCAGCAAGGGAGAAAAGAACAUGAGUGUUCUUAUGUAUCGACCAUUCAGAAGCUGGGCCAGUAAUAGUGAGUGGACAAUGAGGUUUGAAGGUGAAGAGGUGAAGGUUGUCGCUAACGGUUCUGGUUGGGUAGCUGCGAUUACAAGCCUCAAUUUGCUUCACAUAUUUAGCGAGGGUGGUUUACAGAAACAUGUUAUUUCCCUUG